Long non-coding RNA from Biomphalaria glabrata, 3885 nucleotides. RefSeq lists it as uncharacterized. NCBI's taxonomy places the organism in Eukaryota, Metazoa, Mollusca, Gastropoda, Planorbidae. The record is from RefSeq and is a predicted model, not a curated record. The transcript has 2 exons.
UAGAUCUAGAUCUAGAUUGGAUUCUUAUUCUAGAUCUACCAGGAGUAAGACUACUAAUACUAUGACUAAGACUAGUAAGAUUAAAAAAAAAAUUAUUGAUAUUCCCAAAUUAGAUGUAGAUCUAGAUGAUUUAAUAUCCACCACACCACACAAUAGAACAAUAGUUGACUUUGACCAGCUUCAGGCCCUUAUACAGCCUUUACUUUGUCCUGGAUGCAAUAAAUCUUCAUUAAAAUUAAAUACUGAUGAAAAAUGUCACAAUUGCCUGUCUGUUAAACUUAGCAUUAACUGUGAAACAUGCAGAAAAGUUGUAAUUACUAAGUAGCAACCAAACAUCGGUUUAGUCUAAAGAAACUAAAAGAUUUGUUCUGUGAACAAUUUUGCUGUCCUACACAUUUAACCAACUGUGAACAUUUAGACAUACAGAAAUGGAAUGUGUAAAAAGAACAACACCUUUUUAAACUAAUUUACAAAAAAGUUGAUGAUAUUAGACAGGCUUUAGAAUAUAAUACUGUUGACCUUAUUCAUCGGAAGCAUGCAGAGGAAAGUGGAGUUUCCAUAGAUGAAGAAUUGAUAUUGAUGGCCCGUGGCUAACCAGAGGCCACACUUCACAUAUUGGACUUGGAUGUGUUGUAGAUGUCCUAACAGGAUAUGUUCUGGAUUUUCACAAUGUUUCAACAUUUUAUUUGGUCUGUUAAACUAUUGGCAGAAAGAUUAAAGAAAAAUCCCCAUCACAGUAUGCAGAAUGGUUUGAAACACACAAGCCCUUUUUGUGAAAUCACUACACAGGCUCAUCAGCUAUGAUGGAAACAUAUGCCACAGAGGUAAUAUGGCUGUGAUCAGUUGAAAUGAGACUCCUGGUCCACAAAGCAAGCUUCUCUGCACUCCUCUAAACUAUAGGCUACUAGCUGACCACUUGAAACCAAUUCAUAAGCGCUUCUCUGAGCUACCCAAAAUGCCAAUUCAUUGCAUUCCAAGAUUUGGAGUACUUGCGAUAAAAAGAAAUUUUCUUCUUUGAACAAAGUAACAUUGUCAGUCAUAUCUCUUCUAUUUGUGACUUUCACUUUGGAUUAGCUGCUUCAAAGAGAAUGAAAAACAUUCUGUUCUGCAAUAACACGUUUCAUGAUUGUCUUGAGUCGACAGAACCAACGAUUAAGUGGGUCUGCCUAUAAAAAAAAAGAUGACCUCAAACUCGAGUUAAGAGAUGCAGAAGGACAGAUUAAGCUGUGUUUUUUUUACUUUUUAUUCUUUUUUUUUUUUUUUUCAGAAAUCAACAAAUAUAAAUUUUGCAUGUCAUUUAGCUGUACAUCAGAUUUGUCCCAAACUUGUUGUUAGAUUUUAAUGAAAUUUAAAAUACUUGUUCUAGACAUGAUAUAUCUUAUUUGUUUAAUGAGUUUCAUGAAACUUUUUGAUGUACCGGUCAACUCAUUUUUCUCAGAAUGUUAGUUUUUGCAUAUGUCUUUAUGCCUUACAAAGAAAUUUUCCUAAACUACUUGUUAGGUUCUGGUGAAAUCUGAAACAUACGUCUUCAGGACAUAAUAUACUUUACUCGUACAAAGAGAUUUGUUUUUUUCAAAAUUGUAUGUACUUUUUAAAAGAAAAUGUGAUUUUCAUUCAAAUUUAUCCUGUUUUUUUUAAAUGUCAAAAAUAUACUAAAAAUGUGUAAAAAAAAAUAAAAAUAAGGUACUUAAACCUUUAAUUCUGCCUUUAUAUCAAUUUAGAGUAUCAUUUUCUCUUACGUUAAAAUCAAAUUUCAUGUUAAUUUGACCAUUAGUUUUGUUUACAAAAUUAUGAGUUUUAAUUUGUAUACAAUUUAAACAAUAGGACUGCCAUAACCAUGGCAACCACCGUUAAAAAAAAUUUAGCAUUAUUUAUUUUAGUCAGUACCGGUAUAUGCUACCAUAACAAUUUUCAAAGGCCUAGCUUUAUAAAUAACAAAAAUUAGAUUUUCAGCGAUACCUCCCUAAAGACACUAAUAAUAUUGACCAAGAAAUUCAACAGGCAUGAUAAGGGUAUUUAUGGAAAUUACAUAUAGUUUUAAGAACAGUAUUGUAAAGAGUCUAGUAGAGUCCUCCAUAAAUGUGUUCUUGAAUUAAAUAAAAGUGAUUGAACUACUUACAAUUAGGGAUGAAAAAAAAAUUAUUAACCGAUUAAAACACACAGAAAAUAAUACUAAAGCAAACAUAUAUAUAUGUCAUUUUAAGUUAUUGUUAUAUUAUUACUACAAUUUCCCCUCCCAUAUCUGGCCAUUUUAUGGGGUUGAGGGAUGCCAAAAAAAAAGUGUUUUUUUUUAUUUGACUGAUUCACUUAUAAAUAUUAUUAAUUUAGAACUAAGCCCAUAGCUUUGUCUUCAUUGAAUGAGGCAAAAUUGUUUGGUCACACCUGGUUCUGCAUUCAUCCUUGAUCUUUAGACAAGACCUGCACAUUAUUAUUUUAGGACACAGGGUUCGUAGCACUCCUAAAAAAAUGAAAACUCUCCUAAAAUUUGCCAGAAUUCUCUUAAAAUUGUGUCCACUCUCGUAAAGUUUUAACCAAUAUUUGUUUAAAAAUAAUUAAAUAUAAUUUUGCUUAUUUCUUGCUAAAAAUGUUGUAAAUGUCAGGGAAACUAGAUAGUUGAAAAAGAAAUUGUGCUUGAAAAAAAAACAACGCUAAUAGGUCUAAUACCCCUCCCCCACCCCCAUCCAAUUAUGUAUUAUGCAAAUGUCAACUAAACAUACAAAUUGGCAUGUGUAUUAUAGGAUCUUUUUAUGAGGAGGAUUUAAGCACAGUUAAUUAAAGAAUAAAACGACCUCAAAUGCACACCAUGACUCUAGUAUCUAUGUAAGUGUAAGAUACACAUAGGAACUAAAAAUGUACAUUUCCACCACAGAGAAUAUACAUCAUGAAGGCAUCUCUAAGAAUGUUUCUUAUUUUAAAAAAAUGGAAUCUCAUUUUAUAUAAUAAAGACAUUACUUCAAAAAAGAAGAUGAUUACGUCCUAUUUCAAGAUUAUGAUUCAGUGUUUUAUAUAUAAUUCCUACUUUACUUUUGAGUCUUCUGUCCUGAAGGCUUUCUAAAUUUAGUGAUUUUACUAAAGGUGUUACUCUUGUCAAAUGUGAAUAUUCUUUUGUUAUGAAUCUCACUGUGUUGGUUCCAGUUUCUUACUGUUUUCUUGAGUUGAGGGGUCCCAAAUAGAGGAUUCAUAUUCUAUUAUUGGCAUAGUGCAUUGUUUUUAAAGUAACUAAACCAAAUAUUUGUAAAGUAUAAUAAAACAAAUUGAAAAUUUUUAAAUUGUUGCUUUUAUUUUAUUUAUGUGAUUUUCUCCUUUGACAUUUUCAAUACAACUAUUUUAUUUCAUGAUUAUAUAAUUAUAUGUUCAAUUUUUGAAAAUGCCAUGAAAAGGUCAAAUAUAAAACAUAUAAUACUCUCAAUGUCUCAGUUGUUCAUAAUUCAUUAACAUCUACUGAAAUACAAAAAUAUGAAAUUUGUGUCAAGGACAAUAAUCAUGUGUAUGUAGGAACAAAUUGAAAUAGUUUACCCUUAUAUGAGGACAAAAAGAACAACAAAAAAAACACCUCUAGCGUUGAAUGAAUGUGUAUAAAAAUGAAGAAAUACACAAAUGUUUUGUUACUUAAGAUCUAUGGCUAGUGAAAAAAAAAUGUCUAAAAACUAAAAUACGAGAAAAAAAUUUUUUAGUUCAAAAGCAAUUAAGUAGAAUGUAUAUUAUAAUAUAUAUCAAUCAUGAGAGUAGCUUUGUGCUAUGUUAAUGACGAUUAUAGACGUUGCAAAGCCUAUGAUAAACACUUAAAACUUGUAAGCUUUAACAUCUUGAACAAAAAAAAUGGUCGCAGAGGAAACAAUUUGAUUUCUAAAAAAAAAAAAAGAGUGGCAACUAAGCUUAUAGAAA